This 505-nucleotide ribosomal RNA is filed under the name uncultured bacterium. Its description in RNAcentral is "partial 16S ribosomal RNA". It matches the Rfam family "Bacterial small subunit ribosomal RNA", at positions 28 to 507 of the family's 1533-position model. The record is from RNAcentral.
GACGAACGCUGGCGGCGUGCCUAAUACAUGCAAGUAGAACGCACAGUUUAUACCGUAGCUUGCUACACCAUAGACUGUGAGUUGCGAACGGGUGAGUAACGCGUAGGUAACCUGCCUGGUAGCGGGGGAUAACUAUUGGAAACGAUAGCUAAUACCGCAUAAUAUUAAUUAUUGCAUGAUAAUUGAUUGAAAGAUGCAACUGCAUCACUACCAGAUGGACCUGCGUUGUAUUAGCUAGUAGGUGAGGUAACGGCUCACCUAGGCGACGAUACAUAGCCGACCUGAGAGGGUGAUCGGCCACACUGGGAAUGAGACACGGCCCAGACUCCUACGGGAGGCAGCAGUAGGGAAUCUUCGGCAAUGGACGAAAGUCUGACCGAGCAACGCCGCGUGAGUGAAGAAGGGUUUCGGAUCGUAAAGAUCUGUUGUAAGAGAAGAACGGGUGUGAGAGUGGAAAGUUCACACUGUGACGGUAUCUUACCAGAAAGGGACGGCUAACUACGUG